AGAAUCAACGCUGGCGGCGUGCCUAACACAUGCAAGUCGAACGCGAAAGGGGAGCAAUCCCUGAGUAGAGUGGCUAACGGGUGAGUAACACGUGGGUGACCUGCCUUCGAGUGGGGGAUAACGUUCCGAAAGGAACGCUAAUACCGCAUGACAUCCUGCUUUUGGAAAAGCGGAGAUCAAAGCUGGGGAUUCGCAAGAACCUAGCGCUUGAAGAGGGGCCCGCGCCUGAUUAGCUAGUUGGUGAGGUAACGGCUCACCAAGGCUACGAUCAGUA
Molecule: ribosomal RNA, 274 nt
Filed under: uncultured soil bacterium
Lineage: Bacteria
Description: partial 16S ribosomal RNA
Rfam family: Bacterial small subunit ribosomal RNA
Source: RNAcentral